UUUUUUAAUUGAAAACUUGUAUGAAAGGUUGAACAAAAAAUUAGCUGUUUUAUUAAAAAUUAUAGAAUUUUAUUUUUUAGUUAAAAAGCUUAAAUAUUUUUAAAAGACGAGAAGACCCUUUAGAGUUUAAUUUAAUCAAAUUAUUUAUUUAAAAUAGAAAAUUUUUAAUAAAAUAUUUUGUUUUAUUUUGUUGGGGUGACAUUUAAAUUUAAUAAACUUUUUUUAUUAUUUACAUUAAUUUAUGAAUUAUUGAUCCAAUAUUAUUGAUUAAAAAUUUAAAUUACCUAAGGGAUAACAGCGUAAUAUUUUCUUAGAGAUCUUAUCAAUGAAAAUUUUUGC
RNAcentral lists this ribosomal RNA (339 nucleotides) under Diadocidia sp. Sabah DK-2014. RNAcentral's name for it is "partial 16S ribosomal RNA". Lineage: Eukaryota; Metazoa; Arthropoda; Insecta; Diptera; Diadocidiidae. The record is from RNAcentral.